RNAcentral lists this ribosomal RNA (500 nucleotides) under uncultured Glomeromycotina. Its description in RNAcentral is "partial small subunit ribosomal RNA". It matches the Rfam family "Eukaryotic small subunit ribosomal RNA", at positions 591 to 1092 of the family's 1831-position model. Lineage: Eukaryota; Fungi; Glomeromycota. The record is from RNAcentral.
CCAAUAGCGUAUAUUAAAGUUGUUGCAGUUAAAAGGCUCGUAGUUGAAUUUCGGGGUUAGUAGGUUGGUCAUGCCUCUGGUAUGUACUGGUCUCACUGAUUCCUCCUUCCUGAUGAGCCGUAAUGCCAUUAAUUUGGUGUUGCGGGGAAUUUGGACUGUUACUUUGAAGAAAUUAGAGUGUUUAAAGAAAGCUAACGCUUGAAUACAUUAGCAUGGAAUAAUGAAAUAGGACGUUCGAUCCUAUUUUGUUGGUUUCUAGGAUUGACGUAAUGAUUAAUAGGGAUAGUUGGGGGCAUUAGUAUUAAAUUGUCAGAGGUGAAAUUCUUGGAUUUAUUGAAGACUAACUACUGCGAAAGCAUUUGCCAAGGAUGUUUUCAUUAAUCAAGAACGAAAGUUAGGGGAUCGAAGACGAUCAGAUACCGUCGUAGUCUUAACCAUAAACUAUGCCGACUAGGGAUCGGAUGAUGUUAAUUUUUUAAUGACUCAUUCGGCGCCUUACG